GCAAAUGAAGAUAAGACAAUGUCCGCCAACCUAAAAUACCUUUCUUUAGGAAUUUUGGUCUUUCAGACUACCAGUUUGGUUCUAACGAUGCGUUAUUCUAGGACAUUAAAAGAAGAGGGGCCUCGUUAUCUAUCAUCUACAGCUGUGGUUGUUGCUGAACUUUUGAAGAUAAUGGCCUGCAUUUUAUUAGUCUACAAAGAUAGCAAAUGUAGUCUAAGAGCACUGAAUCGAAUACUACAUGAUGAAAUUCUUAAUAAACCUAUGGAAACACUUAAACUUGCUAUUCCAUCAGGGAUAUAUACUCUUCAGAAUAAUUUACUUUAUGUGGCACUGUCAAAUCUCGAUGCAGCUACUUAUCAGGUCACAUAUCAGUUGAAAAUUCUUACGACUGCACUAUUUUCUGUGUCGAUGCUUAGUAAAAAAUUAGGUGUGUACCAGUGGCUCUCCCUAGUAAUUUUGAUGACAGGAGUUGCUUUUGUACAGUGGCCCUCAGAUUCUCAAGAGCUUAAUUCUAAGGAACUUUCAGCUGGCUCACAAUUUGUAGGCCUCAUGGCAGUUCUCACAGCAUGUUUUUCAAGUGGCUUUGCUGGGGUUUACUUUGAGAAAAUCUUAAAAGAAACCAAACAAUCAGUGUGGAUAAGAAACAUUCAACUUGGUUUCUUUGGGAGUAUAUUUGGAUUAAUGGGAGUAUAUGUUUAUGAUGGAGAACUGGUGUCAAAGAAUGGGUUUUUUCAGGGGUAUAAUCGACUGACCUGGAUAGUAGUUGUUCUUCAGGCACUGGGAGGCCUUGUGAUAGCUGCUGUUAUUAAGUAUGCGGAUAACAUUUUGAAAGGAUUUGCAACCUCUCUGUCCAUAAUAUUAUCAACACUGAUAUCUUAUUUUUGGCUACAAGAUUUUGUACCAACCAGUGUCUUUUUCCUUGGAGCCAUCCUUGUAAUAACAGCUACUUUCCUAUAUGGUUAUGAUCCCAAACCUGCAGGAAAUCCCACUAAAGCAUAGUGGUAAUUUAUCUGGUUUUUCACAAUGGUGCACUGGGAAUCUCAACAUUAAAUGCUGCACGGGGACUUCUACAGAUUCUGAGAGAAAAUCAUCAUGCUGAAAUCUGAUCAUAAUGUUCAAAUGGUUUGAAAAUAUAAAAGUUUAAGGAUGAAAUAUACAUAUAUGUAACAAAAUGCCUAUUGCAUAUAAAAAUCAAAACUUGAAAGUAUUUCCAGGGAUUAGAAUAAUUACUAGAGGAAAUUUAAAAUCUGAGUUUUUAAAAAGAUACUAUGUUUUUGAUUGCUGCAGAAAUAUCCUAUGCACUCUUUGAAACAGCACACAGCAAGUGUCAGACAUCAAUUUUGCAAAUUAUAUAUAUUUAAUUUUAUUAAAUGUUUUUUAUCUUAUUCUUUCUGUACAGAUAUAUCAAAUGACAUGAUAUUCAAAGUUUGAACAUUAUAAUUAUAAAGCUGUGAAGAAAUAAGUAUGAUUUGAAAAACAUUUUCACAUAUCUCAGAUUUUUAUAUUUAUACAGAAGAUUACUAAACAAAGGAUUGCUAUAUGUUGCAAAUGUUCAAAUGCAUAAAACUUGAUAAAGUAACUUUCUGGGUCUGAUUUGUCAGAGAAUAACAUUCAUAUUUAAAUUUAAUUUAAAGAAAUAUACACAUCUGUUUCUCCAUCUAAACUUUAAGACCUCUUUAGUGCUUUGAAACUGCUGAAUGCAAUCCAUUCUUUCCUACGCGAGACAGUAGCCAGUGGCUUUUACAUUAAUGGAGUUUGUCCUUUAUCUCUUAAUUGUAUUUCUUUUCUGUAAAUUGGAUAAAUCCUUAAUAUUACUUUAAAAUAAAUUUCUCUCUGUGUUAAUUUCCAUUAAAGUUUUAAAAUGUAAUUUAACGGGGUUAAAUACUCAUUUAAUAAUUUAAAAUAAUAAUUAUUGUCUAAUGUCUCCAUUUGGAGAAUUUUAAACUAUCAGAGCAUAUACUCUACACAACUAGAGCGUUUUUAGAUGACGAUUUUAUUCAUUGAUCUAUAACUGAUGACAAAACAACCAAAUAUAUGAUAGUAUAGACAUCAAUAAAUUGAGACCAGAAUGACUUAGACAUUCCAGAUUGCCAUGAUAUAUUUUAAAUGGCACUAUAACUAUAAAUUCAAAAUGUUCAGAAGAACUUUCUAGGCCUCUCAUAAACCCACCAUUCCUAGGAAUAUUCUGAUCAAAUGUCUGAGAGAGGCAGCCAAAUUCUGAACUCCCUUUUGUGACCUUACAAAAGCUGCCAAGAAAGAGCCACAACUUUGCUUUACAGUAGUGGUUUAUUUUCCAUUUCUUUUCCAUUUGAUUAGCACUGGAAUUGAGAUUGCAAAUUACAUGAGUUAUGGUUUAGGGAGAGAAAAUAUAGCAGAAAUGAUAAAUGAAUUGGAGGGCACAAUUACUUUCUAAAAUUGAAACAGGGGUUUAAUUUAUUGUUGACUAGAGACAUAAUUUCCUAUUGUGUAUAGAAAUAUUGUACUUUAUUUUUUCCUUUAUGCAUUAUGUAUUUUUAAAAGUCUCCUGUUCUAAUUGUAUAAAAACUGUAAAAAAUAAAUAUUUUUAUAUAAUUCUAAUGGAUUUUGUUAAAAUUUGGCUGAAAUACAAUGUUACAGUCUGUUGGCUAGUCUCGGCUAAUUAGGACUGGCUGUGUUACAUUGCUGAGGCAAACCUAGUCUCAGCAAGACACAGGCCUAAUAUAUUCCAUACAGAGUUUUUAGAAAUGCUUAAAAUUAAAAAGUAUUUUUACAUUAAUUUGCUGGUAAUUCCAAAUUGGUAUCAAGCAAACUUUCUGGAACUCUGACUUACACUUUGCAGUGACUACUUUUUAGAGUAUUUUUAUUACAGAUCUAAAGCUCUUUCAAUUUUAUACUGAUUAAAUCAGUACUGCAGUAUUUGAUUAAAAAAAAGAGUAUUUAUUAAAUAACUUUACUACAAUUUGAGAAUGGUGUUUUUAGACUAUAACAACAUUCAGAUUUACAUUUACUACUUAAUGCUAAGAAAUCUAAAUCCUGUAAUGCAGAGAAUUCAAGACUAAAUAUAAAGAUUUAUGUUCAGCUUACACUGAAGUGUUGGGUACUUAUGUAUUAAUCUGGUAUGCAUUAAUCAUUAGUUGUGAAUUCAAGUUUAGUCUCUCCCAAUUUUAACACUUCAAAAAAUUAUACAAAAACACAACUUUCAAGAUUCCCUCCAAAGUUUAUAAAGUGUAGUCAAGAGUUCGGAGAAUGGGCAAAAUAGUCUAAAGUAUAUUCUCAAAGCAAACUUUUAUUAGACAAGCAUAAUUUAUAUUUUGCUUUUCUAGUAGGUUGGAAUAGAGAAUUGGUUGUAUAGUCUAUAGUUUUUGAUUCAUAAAGAAAUAACCAUAUUUGAAACAGUGGACCCGUGUCCUAGAUCAUGUCAUAUGUACACAUGAUGCCAUUUUCUUCUGUGUGGUGUGUGUUUUAAUGAUCUCCAAAAGCCUUAUUAUGUCACCCUUCUAUAAUGAUGAUUCCUUGGUUAUUUAAAUUCUUAUACUUUUUAAAGUUUACAUUUAUCUCUCAACAAUUUUGUUCGUUUUAAAGAAACGUGCUAACCCAUGGGAGAAGAGUGCCAGUUGAUAGUUCUACAAAACUUUAAAACUAUGGUAUUUUGGAAGAAAAGCUUGAAAUGCAACAUAUAGAUGUAAUCAACACGGUAAUAUUACCAAUUCUUUAAUAAGUGAUUUUUAGAGAAGUCGUAGACUACUUUUACAGUGGAAAAUGUAGUUUAGACAUGCAAAACUUGAAUGUUUACAUCAAUUUAUAUUGAAUGUCACAGUUUCAUAGAAGGAAAGGUGAUUUGAUAUUUAAACUAGAUUCCAAGGAGACAGAAUCUGAGUGGAAACUAAUUGACUUUGUGCUUAGUAGACCUAGUGUAAUAAGACUAUUCCUAAGAAUUGAUAAACUUUUCCUACAUAUCAGAUUAUUAAACUUUAACAUGUCAUUGUAUAGUCACUCAUCUGAAUUUUGUAUUUAAAAAUAGGGUUUAGCAUCACUCAUUUUAUUUACACAUUCGUUACUGUAAUAUUUAAUUACAUGUGAAUGUAUGCUCUACAUGAUAAAAAGUUUAUAAAAGUUAUUUAUGCUAUAUUGAAAGUCAUCUUAAGAAUCUCCCAGAUAUGUAGCUUAUAUAAAGUAUUUGUAGGACCAAAGAAAAAGCACCUUCAUCAAAAUCUGGUCCUGUGUGCCUUGCUUUACCAAAUACCCGGCUUUUCUUGAGGAUAUUACUGUAAUUCACAAUUUUGGACACAUAGGCAAAAUUAGGAUGUUUUAAGAAUAACUAUAAUUCAAUGUUUUCAUUGUUUCAACAUUUGCUAUUUAAAUUCAUUAUCUAACAGAAUAUUGAAAUAGGUAUAUUGUACAAAUAUUAGUAAAUAGAACUUAUUUAAAGAAAUUAUGGUACCAUUGCUCCAUCAUUGAACUUUUGAAACUUUAACAAUUGUAUAUAACUCUCAUUUUGAUUUUUUUCUUAUUAUAAGAUAAAAUUUACUGUGAUUUUUAAAAUAUUUUUUAAAUGAUCUGGAUUCCACAUUUGUCAUUAUAUGUAUUUCAUUUGUUUAGAAAGAUUCUUUUGGGUUUGGGGUUGUGAUUUGUAUAUUUAAAUUUUUUAUGGACAUAAUUCAAAAGAAUGUAUAAAUUGGUCUUUUGUUUAAAUGGCUUUUUAAUUGAUAAAUUUCUCUUUGUCAUUUUUUGGUAUCCAGUUAUUUUCUUUUCUCUAGAUUUCUGAAAAUAGAUUAUUUUCAUAACUAUGUAAAUUUUUUCCUAUAUUUCCUUUUUUCCUAUUCACCUGUGUCUGACUUAACCAUGAAUUAGUCUUUCCAUAUAUCAAAAAUGACUCCCUGAGCCCUUUCCUGCCUCUCUGGUUACCUUUAUCAUGUAUGUGAUCUUCCUUUUUACUAUGCUAUAGUGUGAAAGACUGGAUCUUAUUUAAACUAGUUAGAAUUUCUCUACCUGUAUGAUUGUAACAGUCUAAAACUUUUUGCUUUAAACAAAUUAUCUCUUUUGAUAGCAUCAAAGUUAAGAGAUUAUAGUAAUUGGUAUAUAUUUUCUUCAUAAUUUAUUGUUUUGGCUGUGUUGCAUGGCUUGCAGGAUCUUAGUUCCCCAACCAGGGAUCAAACCUAUGCCCCCUGCAGUGGAAGUGUGGAAUUCUAACUACAUGAGGAGCACCAACUGAACAUCUUUAUAUUUGUAUUGGAAUACUUCUGUUGAAAGUAUAUCAAAAUUCUUGAAUCCUGUGCUAUGCAAAUAUGCUUCAUAAUAGUGACCAGUAUUAGUAAUCACGAUUGUCUUUCUUACUGUUCUUAAAGAGAAUUUUUUUCAAAGCAGGAUUACCUACACAUUCUAGAAGUGAAAAUAUAAGAGGAAAUAAACUGUCCUCAAAUCCCAAAGAUUUGAAAUUCUACUAUUGUAGAGUGUCUUGGUGACUAUAAAUUCAGAGGUUUCCCAAAUUCACCUAGGUUCAAUAAUUCACUGGAAAGACAGAACUCACUGAAAGCUAUUAUACUCACAAUCAUAGUUAUUCCAGAGAAAGGAUACAAAUUAGAACCAGACAAAGGAAGAGAACAUUGGACAGAGAUAAGGAGGGGUCUAAAUUCCAGUCAUCCUUUCCAAUUGUCCACUCCUGGUGAAGCCUUGGACAAUGCUGUAUAUAUACUCCUAGCUAAAAUCGAUGAUACUCCAUGCAGAGUACUGCCAACUGGGAAAAUUCACCCAUGCUCUUGUUUUCAUAUUUUUACCACAGUCUUAGUAUUUGGCAUGCUUGAUUGAUUCUUUGAUCACAUAAUUGAACUCACUCUCCAGCCCUGAUCUCCCCGGAGAAGUAGCAGACCCCAUAAAUUAGCCUGUGUAAUUUGAGGAGCCCAACAUGAAUAACAGCGACACGUCUGCUGAAACCUCCUGAGGAUGUAGGCCAGAACUUUUUUUGGCCUGGAAGAGGCUUCCUCGCACCCUGAUGGCUUCUUUUCCCUGUCGUGACUUUUUGAAGAAUCUAAGUUACUUGACAUCUGUCCUUGGUCUGUCUAUAUACUUGAUUUGUUUUCUUUAUUUGCAUUUCCUUUGAACUGGAAGUCUAUAGGUUUGAUUAAAUUCAGGUUAAAUGUUUUUUGAAAGCAUUUAAUGGAUUAUCUUAUAGGCUUUAUAUUGUAUCAUAUCAGAAGACACGCAAUUCUAGAUUGUCUCAUUAUUGAUGAUAAUUGUGCAGUUAAGAUUAUGACUAACAGAUCUUUCCAUUGUAAAGGUCAGUUUUCUCCCUUUAGUAAUAGUAUUCUUUAGGGUAAUAUUUUGGCACCAUGAGAAUGUUCUUUUUUCUAACAGCCUUUUAUUUAAUGUCUCUAGCAUCAACUGAUGAUCUUAAUUGAAUCGUUUAUCACAUUGAGGUGCAAAAUGAUGGUUUAAAAUUUUUAAUUCUCAAAAAACAAAUUUUUUUCAAAUUCUCUAAUUUUCUUUUACGUUUAUUAGUUUGUUCUCUAUUUUAAAAAGAUUAUUUUCACACACCCCAGAGGCGACGGCGGUGAGGCGCCGCCCGACCUGCAGGCACAGUGUUAUGUAUUGAAGAUACUGCUUUUGGAGCAGGAAAUGUUUAUGAUCCUACAAUGAUAGAGCUGGAAGGCACCUUCUCAGCCUACCCUCUCAUUUUGUAAAGGAGGGAAAAAAGAAGCUCUAUAGCAGUGAUCAGAAUCAUCCAGCCUGCCUGUGCUACUAGAUGAAUGGAAAACUUUGAUUUAAACAAAGUACUUACAAGGAAUUGUCCUUGAUUUUUGUUCUUUGUAGCAUUCCUCAAAUUCUUUUCACAUUUUUCCUUACUGUAAAAACUACAUUUAAGUUAGAAAAUGAAGCAAUUGAAGAGGAAAAGGAAAAGCAAUUUCAGUGUACAAGAAACUCAGACCCUUUUGAAAGAAAUUACGAAAAGGAAAGAAGUAAUUUUUUCCAAGCAACUCAAUACAACAAUUAAUGUGAUGAAGCGAAUGGCUUGGGAGGAGAUUGCACAGUGUGUGAAUGCUGUAGAGGAGAGCAGAGAACAGGGACAGAAGUGAAAAGAAGGUACCUUGACUGGCGAGCCCUUAUGAAGAGAAAGAAGAUGAAGGCGAACAUUAAGCUAGUUGGUUCAGGGUUUCCCUUACCCACAUCUGAUUUAGAUGACUCUCUCACUGAAGAGAUAGAUGAAAAGAUUGGAUUCUGAAGUGAUACAAAUUUUGAUUGGCAAAAUGUGGCAGAUUUCAGGGAUGCAGGUGGUUCCUUAACUGAGGUCAAGGUGGAAGAGGAAGAAAGAGAUCCCCAGAGUCCUGAAUUUGAGAUCGAAGAGGAAGAAGAAAUGUUGUCAUCAGUCAUACCAGAUUCCAGGAGGGAAAAUGAACUUCCUGAUUUCCCCCACAUUGAUGAAUUUUUUACUCUGAACUCAACACCGUCUAGGUCUGCAUAUGAUGAGCCCCAUUUGCUUGUAAACAUAGAGAAACAGAAACUAGAAUUGGAAAAACGAAGGCUUGAUAUUGAGGCUGAAAGACUGCAGGUAGAGAAGGAACGCCUACAGAUUGAGAAAGAGAGGCUGCGACAUUUAGACAUGGAGCAUGAGCGACUUCAGCUGGAAAAGGAGCGGUUGCAGAUUGAAAGAGAGAAGCUGAGAUUACAUAUAGUCAGCUCAGAGAAGCCAUCUUUGGAAAGUGAACUUGGUCAAGGGGAAAAGUCCAUACAUCAACCACAGGAUAUAGAAACCAAGAAGUUAAAACUUGAGAGAGAACGCUUACAACUGGAAAAAGAUAGGCUGCAGUUUUUGAAAUUUGAAUCAGAGAAGCUGCAGAUUGAAAAGGAACGCUUACAAGUAGAGAAAGAGAGACUACGAAUUCAGAAGGAAGGACAUUUGCAGUGAUUUAUCUAGGUCUCCAUUUUAUCAAAUAUUUGUAAACCAUAGGUUUAGGUUUAAAAAUGGUUGCAGGAUUAGCUGUAUUGUUGUUUUUUUCCCCUGUUUAACAUUAGUGUUUUCCAUAGGAAAAAGAUGAUUAUUUGUGGGUAAUUAUAUGCUUAAGUCUUCUAGGAAAACUAUGCGCCCUAGCAUAAACAGUAUAGCAGAAAUUGUUGUACUAUACUCUUUAAAUUAGUAAAAUUACACACAGUCUUGCAUAAUCUAUGGACUCAGAGUUUACAAUUAUGUCUGUAUAAAAUUCUAGCUCAGUAGUUGUCAACUGGGGGUGACUUUGGCCCCCAGAAGACAUUUGGCAAUAUCUGGCAACAUUUUUUGGUUGUCAGAAUUGGAAAGUUGGGCACAUUGCUCCUGGCAUGCAGUAGGUAGAGGCUAGGGAUGCCUACAUCCUGCAAUGCACAGGACAGUUUCCACCCUCCUCUCCACCAAAAAAAAAAA
This is a non-coding RNA of Odocoileus virginianus texanus, 8368 nucleotides long. NCBI's taxonomy places the organism in Eukaryota, Metazoa, Chordata, Mammalia, Artiodactyla, Cervidae. The record is from RefSeq and is a predicted model, not a curated record.